GAUACCNUGGUAGUCCACGCCGUAAACGAUGUCGACUUGGAGGUUGUUCCCUUGAGGAGUGGCUUCCGGAGCUAACGCGUUAAGUCGACCGCCUGGGGAGUACGGCCGCAAGGUUAAAACUCAAAUGAAUUGACGGGGGCCCGCACAAGCGGUGGAGCAUGUGGUUUAAUUCGAUGCAACGCGAAGAACCUUACCUACUCUUGACAUCCAGAGAAUUUGGCAGAGAUGCUUUGGUGCCUUCGGGAACUGUGAGACAGGUGCUGCAUGGCUGUCGUCAGCUCGUGUUGUGAAAUGUUGGGUUAAGUCCCGCAACGAGCGCAACCCUUAUCCUUUGUUGCCAGCGAUUCGGUCGGGAACUCAAAGGAGACUGCCGGUGAUAAACCGGAGGAAGGUGGGGAUGACGUCAAGUCAUCAUGGCCCUUACGAGUAGGGCUACACACGUGCUACAAUGGCGCAUACAAAGAGAAGCGACCUCGCGAGAGCAAGCGGACCUCAUAAAGUGCGUCGUAGUCCGGAUCGGAGUCUGCAACUCGACUCCGUGAAGUCGGAAUCGCUAGUAAUCGUGGAUCAGAAUGCCACGGUGAAUACGUUCCCGGGCCUUGUACACACCGCCCGUCACACCAUGGGAGUGGGUUGCAAAAGAAGUAGGUAGCUUAACCUUCGGGAGGGCGCUUACCACUUUGUGAUUCAUGACUGGGGUGAAGUCGUAACAAGGUAAC
RNAcentral lists this ribosomal RNA (719 nucleotides) under Pantoea sp. RNAcentral describes it as "bacterial SSU rRNA". It matches the Rfam family "Bacterial small subunit ribosomal RNA", at positions 781 to 1500 of the family's 1533-position model. Lineage: Bacteria; Pseudomonadati; Pseudomonadota; Gammaproteobacteria; Enterobacterales; Erwiniaceae. The record is from RNAcentral.